Molecule: ribosomal RNA, 253 nt
Filed under: uncultured bacterium
Lineage: Bacteria
Description: partial 16S ribosomal RNA
Rfam family: Bacterial small subunit ribosomal RNA
Source: RNAcentral
UACGUAGGGUGCGAGCGUUGUCCGGAAUUACUGGGCGUAAAGAGCUCGUAGGUGGUUUGUCGCGUUGUUCGUGAAAACCGGAGGCUCAACCUCUGGCGUGCGGGCGAUACGGGCAGACUUGAGUACUGCAGGGGAGACUGGAAUUCCUGGUGUAGCGGUGGAAUGCGCAGAUAUCAGGAGGAACACCAGCGGCGAAGGCGGCGCUCUGGGCUGGAACUGACGCUGAGGAGCGAAAGCGUGGGGAGCGAACAGG